AAAUUGAAGAGUUUGAUCAUGGCUCAGAUUGAACGCUGGCGGCAGGCCUAACACAUGCAAGUCGAACGGUAACAGGAAGCAGCUUGCUGCUUCGCUGACGAGUGGCGGACGGGUGAGUAAUGUCUGGGAAACUGCCUGAUGGAGGGGGAUAACUACUGGAAACGGUAGCUAAUACCGCAUAACGUCGCAAGACCAAAGAGGGGGACCUUCGGGCCUCUUGCCAUCGGAUGUGCCCAGAUGGGAUUAGCUUGUUGGUGGGGUAACGGCUCACCAAGGCGACGAUCCCUAGCUGGUCUGAGAGGAUGACCAGCCACACUGGAACUGAGACACGGUCCAGACUCCUACGGGAGGCAGCAGUGGGGAAUAUUGCACAAUGGGCGCAAGCCUGAUGCAGCCA
This 397-nucleotide ribosomal RNA is filed under the name Escherichia coli. RNAcentral describes it as "bacterial SSU rRNA". It matches the Rfam family "Bacterial small subunit ribosomal RNA", at positions 1 to 394 of the family's 1533-position model. RNAcentral also lists the same sequence under 1 other name. Lineage: Bacteria; Pseudomonadati; Pseudomonadota; Gammaproteobacteria; Enterobacterales; Enterobacteriaceae. The record is from RNAcentral.